GGACUACCAGGGUUUCUAAUCCUGUUUGAUCCCCACGCUUUCGUGCCUCAGCGUCAAUAUUUGUGUAGCCAGCUGCCUUCGCAAUUGGUGUUCUAUGUCAUAUCUAUGCAUUUCACCGCUACAUGACAUAUUCCGCUAACCUCCACAACAUUCAAGAUCUAUAGUAUCAACGGCAGUUUCCGAGUUAAGCUCGGAGAUUUCACCACUGACUUACAGAUCCGCCUACGCACCCUUUAAACCCAGUGAAUCCGGAUAACGCUUGCACCCUCCGUAUUACCGCGGCUGCUGGCAC
This 292-nucleotide ribosomal RNA is filed under the name uncultured Bacteroidota bacterium. Its description in RNAcentral is "uncultured Bacteroidetes bacterium partial 16S ribosomal RNA". The record is from RNAcentral. Lineage: Bacteria; Pseudomonadati; Bacteroidota.